Homo sapiens (human) is the source of this 294-nucleotide long non-coding RNA. RefSeq lists it as uncharacterized. The transcript is spliced from 2 exons. The record is from RefSeq and is a predicted model, not a curated record. NCBI's taxonomy places the organism in Eukaryota, Metazoa, Chordata, Mammalia, Primates, Hominidae.
CAAGGCUCAGCGCGGCGGGGCCCAGCUGGGGCAGGAUCAAAGGGCUCGGGGAAUUUUUCUCCAUCCGUCCCACAGACUUGCAUUGAGAAAGCUAACCUACCUGUAAAACAGCUAGGAACGAAUGGCCUUGGCAAAUAGGGUGUGAGAUUUAUGUGCCAUGAUAAUUCAGGUGGUGUAAAGGAGGACCUCUUUAUACUCCUGGAAAUUACUGAGGACUCCAAAGAACUUUUGUUUAUGUGGGUUAUUUAUCGAUAUUUGCUGUAUUAGAAAUUAAAGCAGAAUUUUUAAAAUGUA